CCUACGGGUGGCUGCAGUGAGGAAUAUUGGUCAAUGGGCGUAAGCCUGAACCAGCCAAGUCGCGUGUGUGAUGAAGGUUCUCUGGAUCGUAAACCUCUUUUAUAAGGGAAUAAAGUGCGGGACGUGUCCCGUUUUGUAUGUACCUUAUGAAUAAGGAACGGCUAGCUCCGUUCCAGCAGCCGCGGUAAUACGGAGGAUCCGAGCGUUAUCCGGAUUUAUUGGGUUUAAAGUGUGCGUAGGCGGCCUUUUAAGUCAGCUGGGAAAGUCUGUGGCUCAACCAUAGAAUUGCCGUUGAAACUGGGAGGCUUGAGUAUGGUUGAGGCAGGCGGAAUGCGUGGUGUAGCGGUGAAAUGCUUAGAGAUCACGCAGAACCCCGAUGGCGAAGGCAGCCUGCCGAGCCAUGACUGACGCUGAUGCACGAAAGCGUGGGGAUCAAACAGGAUUAGAUACCCGGGUAGUC
This 460-nucleotide ribosomal RNA is filed under the name uncultured bacterium. RNAcentral's name for it is "partial 16S ribosomal RNA". It matches the Rfam family "Bacterial small subunit ribosomal RNA", at positions 338 to 795 of the family's 1533-position model. The record is from RNAcentral.